Aphis gossypii (cotton aphid) is the source of this 1752-nucleotide long non-coding RNA. RefSeq lists it as uncharacterized. The transcript has 5 exons. The record is from RefSeq and is a predicted model, not a curated record. NCBI's taxonomy places the organism in Eukaryota, Metazoa, Arthropoda, Insecta, Hemiptera, Aphididae.
AAGAGUGUGCACUUCACCAAUCUGAUCAACAAUAUUUUAUUAAUUGUAAUUUGCCUGCAGUCUGCAUAUUAUAUUUAAAUAAAUAGUUAAAGUGUUGAACAGUUUGGAGUACCUACCAACGAUAAUAUGGAAUCCAGAUUCAGGCUAAUUGAAAUUUACUAUUUUGUGUUUCAUUUAUUAAAUUUGAACUCGUAAAUAGUCAUAUUACCUAUCAUAGAUAAUAAAUGUUAUUCAUCGACCUAUAUAUUAUCUGUAUGUCUGUGUUUACGAAUCUACGCGUAAUUGUGUAAAUGAUAGGCGAGAAGGGGAGCCUUAUUUUUGUCGAUGUAUCAUAUUUUCAAAAUUAAAUUAUAGCAAAAUAAAUUAAUAAUUAUUUUACUUUUUAUGUACCUAAUCAAUAUUAAAUAGUUAUACAGGUUAUAGUCUAUUAGUCUAUAUUUAUUUUAUUACAAUAUUUUGUAUGCAAUUACGUUUACGUGAAAUCAUUAUGAAAUAUUGUAGAUAUUAAAUACUUUUAUUUUUCAUUUAUUUAUGAAUUAAUUAAGUUCCCGAGUCUGGAAAUGUUUAUAGUAGUAAAUAUUGUAAUAAGGUUUUGUUUAUUGGAUUCACGAUACAUCAGGCCCGUAGCCACGGGGGGACUAGACUGCUAGAGGGGGCGUUGCCCCCCCUAAACCCAGUCGUUGCCCCCUCCAAAAAUAUUAAAAAUAUAAGAAAGACAUUGUUUUUAUAUAUAAUGUCCCCCCAAAAAAGUUUACUUUGCCCCACCUGAAAAUUUGGUCUGGCUACGGGCUUGCGAUACAUACCUUUAGGGUUUAGGUAUAUUUUGUCUUAGAAAAUAUUCUUUCCUUAUAGUUACUUACGUAUUAAAAUUUAAAAUGCUUUCCUGUGAGUUGUGACUUCAUCAUUUCAAAGUGUACCUAUUGUAUUACUGUAACGGUCCAUGCACAAGCAACCAUGAAUAGGCAUUAAAUAAUUAGCGUUCUGCGUUAUAAAUAAUCCAAGUUGUAAAAUAUUUCUAAGUGUUUAAUUAAUUGAAAAUGCUUAUAAGUCCCAAAACCACAAUUUCUGAUGUAUAAACUGGCGUAAAGACGCUUGCUCUAAUUCUUGUAAAUCACGUCUGAUAAAAGCUUAACUCGGACUUUCUUAUAAAAGCUUUUUCCUCACUCUUCUGGUCGAGUUCUUUCUGAGUUCUGGACAAGCGACGAGCUCCGUCAUGACCCACGCGAGUUUACGCGUUUACAGUUUACGCGUCCUUGCAGAUUGCAGUUCAUCUUAAAAUAUAGUUGGACAUGGAAGUCUAGAAGUGCGCACACAAAUGUAUACUCGAGGGUGUUAAAUGAGAUAUUAUGUCAAUUGACUUAUCAUAAUGUCACGGCGUUGAAUUUAUGGUACCUAUAGCUCAAAGAUGUAGACUAUAAGAUGACCGUAUUAGGCUUGACUGCUUGAGUUACAGUUGUAGGUAACCAUCGUAUCCGAAUGUAUACACACUACACACACGCACUCGUAGUUCAAUGAGAAAUCAAUGACUUUGAAAACAAGAGUGGCGCGCAUCGCCGUCACUUACAACAGCCAACAGGUAUAUUAUGUAUGAGUAUGGGAGGUGUUUUAGUCUCGCAGAAUGGAGGUCACCUUGAAAAUUGAACUGAAUAUACAUAGUUGCUGCAUUAGGGUGAUUGUUGUAUGGUGACUUAAAAAAAUGCCUUGCCGGGUUCUUGACCCUGUAGUUGACAUAGGUUAUAGCAGUUAAUAUUG